UUNNGGNNGAUNNNGNNNGANGNNNNCCCUUUAAAGGUUCGACUAAGCCAUGCGAGUCGAAUGCCGCAAGGCAUGGCGUACUGCUCAGUAACACGUGGACAUUCCUCCCUUAGGACUGGGAUAACCCCGGGAAACUGGGAAUAAUCCCCGAUAGUCCUCGAAGGCUGGAACGCAUCGAGGGCGAAAGCUCCGGCGCCUAAGGAUGGGUCUGCGGCCUAUCAGGUAGUAGUGGGUGUAGCGUACCUACUAGCCUACGACGGGUACGGGUUGUGAGAGCAAGAGCCCGGAGAUGGAUUCUGAGACACGAAUCCAGGCCCUACGGGGUGCAGCAGGCGCGAAAACUUUACAAUGCUGGCAACAGCGAUAAGGGAACCUCGAGUGCCAGGUUACAAAUCUGGCUGUCGAGAUGCCUAAAAAGCAUUUCAUAGCAAGGGCCGGGCAAGACCGGUGCCAGCCGCCGCGGUAACACCGGCGGCUCGAGUGGUAACCGUUAUUAUUGGGUCUAAAGGGUCUGUAGCCGGCCGGAUAAAUCUCUUGGGAAAUCUGGCAGCUCAACUGUCAGGCUAUCAGGAGAUACUGUCUGGCUUCGAUGCCGGGAGAGGUGAGAGGUACUUCAGGG
Molecule: ribosomal RNA, 619 nt
Filed under: uncultured archaeon
Lineage: Archaea
Description: partial 16S ribosomal RNA
Rfam family: Archaeal small subunit ribosomal RNA
Source: RNAcentral